Molecule: long non-coding RNA, 2032 nt
Filed under: Citrus x clementina
Lineage: Eukaryota; Viridiplantae; Streptophyta; Magnoliopsida; Sapindales; Rutaceae
Description: Citrus clementina (C. clementina) long non-coding RNA (CCLE_LNC005368)
Source: RNAcentral
AUUCAUAUAAGGAUGAAAAUUAAUUAAUGGGAUAGGGAUAUUUUGGAGAAUAUCUUUUAAUAAUAUCAUUCAAACUUUUUAGAUUAAACAAAAGGUAAAAAAAAUUAGCUUAAUAACUUAAUAAUUUAAUGGCUGAAAAUUCUGAUUAAGUUGAUAAAACAAACAGACUUAAUGACUUAACUGGUUAAAAUUAAGUUAAUUAAGUCAUUAAGUCAAAAAAAAAAAGCCCCUAAGUGAUGACACAUUUUUAAUAUUUUGUCUUAAAACAACACUAAUCAAUAUUAUGUUGUUGCGAAUUAGUGGAGUAGGUAAAAUAUGUAAAAAGAGGUUUGGGGCUCAAAUCCACUCACAUGAGUUGAAAAAAAAAGAUUAUCAAUAAAAUAUAUAUAUAUAUAUAUAUAUAUUGAGAAAAUCAAUCCUACAAAUACACAAUGACUCAAAUCCGGACCUAUGUGAAUGUGGUUUGCCUAUUACUUUAAUUAUUCAGUGGUUUCACAAAAUCGAAUACCUAUAGUACAUGAAUUUAAUCAUUGAGGUAAUUUGAAUAUAAAAUUCUAAAUAUUAGAUUUACUAAUCACUUGAUUCAAAAUCUUGAACAAUUAGGCAAGACAUUCAUUGGUCGAGUUGCAGCCACUCCUUGCUCUUUAUUGAUUUGAGGAUUCGAUUCAUCUUGUGUUGAAGUAAAUACAACGUAUUCUAGUCCCUAAUAUUUUGAGUCCGUCAUUACAAAACUAAUUUAAGAUAUUUUGAUAGACAGAAAUGUAAUUAAAAAUGACCGUGAAAAAUUAGGGGAAAAGAAUUCAACAUCAAUCUCUAAAAUCAUAUCUAACACGAAAUUCCGGGAAGAGAUAUUUUUUUUUGCAAAAAUCGGCUGCUUUGAGUUUUAAUAUUAUAAUAAUAAACAACCGACAUCCAAAUCAAUGUAAAGACUAUUUAAUCAAAUGAUUAAUUAGUUUCUAAUCAUAUCAAUACAUUUUGUUAAGGCAGUUUAAUUUCCACAGCUUAUCCAAAAUAUUCAAAGAGAAAACGUAAGAGUGAUACAAAGUCCAUAAACGUGGAGCGACACACAAACUCAAAUUUCAUUUUCAUUAGUGUCACUUUAUUUGCUUACAUUGGCUAGCUCUAUAUAAAUAUAUACACCCCAUAUCAAUUAUUUUGAAAGUGUAGUGCAGCAAAUGGCUUUGAAUUGGUCAUGUAGUUAACAAUUUGAAAGCAGCCGGUCAUCACUAUUGUCGUUUGCAUUUAAUUAGAAGGUAACGAUGCUUUCACGUUCCCUUAAAUAGUUUCAAUAACUUUAGUCGGUUAGUGAAUAGUGAUUAAUUAAUGUUGAGUUAGGCCCAACCAAUUAAUUAGUUGGCUGGUGAUCUGCCAGCGGAAAUGUUAAUAGAUUAGUAGCCGCAGCCAUUAGGUCAAGUUGAAAAGCAUGUGUGAAAUCCAAGUGCAUGCCUAUAGCCUAGCUAACCAAAAAGCUUGGCAAUAUAUAAUUGGUGGAUUCAAUUAUUUUUUAAGAGUCGUUAAUUGAACUUUGGUCAUCUAUAACAUGUACGGAAGAGGAAAUUGGAGAUUUUACCACUGUGAUUCAUCGAAUUAAUCAUUGAGUACUAGAGCUAGUGGCACCCUUAUAAGAUUCGUGUAAGAUUAAUCUUCUAUAAAGUUAUAACUUUACCUUGAUUGAAAAGGUUUAAAGUUGGAUUAAAAUAAUAAUAAUAAUUAAACCUCUGUAUCAAAUUGCAAGGUGCCCCGGACUUAAAAAAACUCUCAAAAGAGUAAGAACCUAAUAAGAUUUUUUUUUUAAAAGAACUUUUGCGUGAUUCUUCUUCAAAUUUUCUUGUCAUCUUUAAUUAUUAUUCUUUAUUCAAAACCAAAUUGUUGGGGCUACAAAUGUAUAAUAAAGAGAAUGGGAUUUAACACACAGGAGUAAGAUAUUUAAAUAGAACUAAUCGUGAAAGAGAGGUACCAUAAGCACUUUAUCUUUUCUAUUUAAAAAAAAAGUACUAUUAGCACUUUAUCAUUUCUAGUUAACCAUUAUUUA